RNAcentral lists this small RNA (181 nucleotides) under Pseudomonas sp. LP_7_YM. RNAcentral's name for it is "Pseudomonas sRNA P1". It matches the Rfam family "Pseudomonas sRNA P1". From Rfam's summary of the family: There appears to be two related copies of P1 sRNA in the P.aeruginosa PA01 genome and both copies appear to be located upstream of predicted glutamine synthetase genes. This sRNA appears to be conserved amongst several Pseudomonas species. The record is from RNAcentral. Lineage: Bacteria; Pseudomonadati; Pseudomonadota; Gammaproteobacteria; Pseudomonadales; Pseudomonadaceae.
ACCCCCGAUGUUAUUGCUGUUAUGGGUUGCGACCGAGCUUAGCGUUGUUCAUUUUUUUACACAACAACCCCGUAAAAAUUAAAACACGCUGCGCUAAAGACCAUGAUUUCCAGCUGCUCUAACAGUGAAAAACUGCCCUAAAGAGCGGCAAAAACUGCUUCAAGGCGCCGUUUUAGAGCAA